AUACGUAGGGUGCAAGCGUUAAUCGGAAUUACUGGGCGUAAAGCGUACGCAGGCGGUUUUGUAAGACAGAGGUGAAAUCCCCGGGCUCAACCUGGGAACUGCCUUUGUGGCUGCAAGGCUAGAGUACGGCAGAGGGGGAUGGAAUUCCGCGUGUAGCAGUGAAAUGCGUAGAUAUGCGGAGGAACACCGAUGGCGAAGGCUAUCCCCUGGGCCUUUACUGACGCUCAUGCACGAAAGCGUGGGGAGCAAACAGGAUUAGAUCCCCUGGUAGUCCACGCCCUAAACGAUGUCAACUGGUUGUUGGGUCUUCAUUGACUCAGUAACGAAGCUAACGCGUGAAGUUGACCGCCUGGGGAGUACGGCCGCAAGGUUGAAACUCAAAUGAAUUGACGGGG
RNAcentral lists this ribosomal RNA (395 nucleotides) under uncultured bacterium. RNAcentral describes it as "partial 16S ribosomal RNA". It matches the Rfam family "Bacterial small subunit ribosomal RNA", at positions 523 to 918 of the family's 1533-position model. The record is from RNAcentral.